AUUGAACGCUGGCGGCAUGCCUUACACAUGCAAGUCGAACGGCAGCGCGGGCUUCGGCCUGGCGGCGAGUGGCGGACGGGUGAGUAAUGCAUCGGAACGUGCCCAGGAGUGGGGGAUAACGUAGCGAAAGUUACGCUAAUACCGCAUACGUACUGAGGUAGAAAGCGGGGGAUCGAAAGACCUCGCGCUCAUGGAGCGGCCGAUGUCGGAUUAGCUAGUUGGUGGGGUAAAAGCUCACCAAGGCGACGAUCCGUAGCUGGUCUGAGAGGACGACCAGCCACCAUGGGACUGAGACACUGCCCAGCCUCCUACGGGAGGCAGCAGUGGGGAAUUUUGGACAAUGGAGGCAACCCUGAUCCAGCAAUGCCGCGUGAGUGAAGAAGGCCUUCGGGUUGUAAAGCUCUUUUGUCAGGGAAGAAACAGCAGCUCUAACACAGUCUGCGAAUGACGGUACCUGAAGAAUAAGCACCGGCUAACUACGUGCCAGCCACCGCCGUAA
RNAcentral lists this ribosomal RNA (499 nucleotides) under uncultured bacterium. RNAcentral's name for it is "partial 16S ribosomal RNA". It matches the Rfam family "Bacterial small subunit ribosomal RNA", at positions 29 to 523 of the family's 1533-position model. The record is from RNAcentral.